GCGCACGGUGGAUGCCUUGGCACUAGAAGCCGAUGAAGGACGUUACUAACGACGAUAUGCUUUGGGGAGCUGUAAGUAAGCUUUGAUCCAGAGAUUUCCGAAUGGGGAAACCCAGCAUGAGUUAUGUCAUGUUAUCGAUAUGUGAAUACAUAGCAUAUCAGAAGGCACACCCGGAGAACUGAAACAUCUUAGUACCCGGAG
RNAcentral lists this ribosomal RNA (201 nucleotides) under Staphylococcus aureus. Its description in RNAcentral is "partial 23S ribosomal RNA". It matches the Rfam family "Bacterial large subunit ribosomal RNA", at positions 17 to 215 of the family's 2925-position model. Lineage: Bacteria; Bacillati; Bacillota; Bacilli; Caryophanales; Staphylococcaceae. The record is from RNAcentral.